GGUUAAGCGACUAAGCGUACACGGUGGAUGCCCUGGCAGUCAGAGGCGAUGAAGGACGUGCUAAUCUGCGAAAAGCGUCGGUAAGGUGAUAUGAACCGUUACAGCCGGCGAUGUCCGAAUGGGGAAACCCAGUGCAAUUCGUUGCACUAUCGUUUGAUGAAUACAUAGUCAAACGAGGCGAACCGGGGGAACUGAAACAUCUAAGUACCCCGAGGAAAAGAAAUCAACCGAGAUUCCCCCAGUAGCGGCGAGCGAACGGGGAGCAGCCCGGAGUCUGAAUCAGCUUGUGUGUUAGUGGAAGCGUCUGGAAAGUCGCAGGGUACAGGGUGAUACUCCCGUACACUAAAACACACAGGUUGUGAACUCGAAGAGUAGGGCGGGACACGUGGUAUCCUGUCUGAAUAUGGGGGGACCAUCCUCCAAGGCUAAAUACUCCUGACUGACCGAUAGUGAACCAGUACCGUGAGGGAAAGGCGAAAAGAACCCCGGCGAGGGGAGUGAAAAAGAACCUGAAACCGUGUACGUACAAGCAGUAGGAGCCCACUUGUUGGGUGACUGCGUACCUUUUGUAUAAUGGGUCAGCGACUUAUAUUCUGUAGCAAGGUUAACCGUAUAGGGGAGCCGCAGGGAAACCGAGUCUUAACUGGGCGUUAAGUUGCAGGGUAUAGACCCGAAACCCGGUGAUCUAGCCAUGGGCAGGUUGAAGGUUGGGUAACACUAACUGGAGGACCGAACCGACUAAUGUUGAAAAAUUAGCGGAUGACUUGUGGCUGGGGGUGAAAGGCCAAUCAAACCGGGAGAUAGCUGGUUCUCCCCGAAAGCUAUUUAGGUAGCGCCUCGUGAACUCAUCUUCGGGGGUAGAGCACUGUUUCGGCUAGGGGGUCAUCCCGACUUACCAACCCGAUGCAAACUACGAAUACCGAAGAAUGUUAUCACGGGAGACACACGGCGGGUGCUAACGUCCGUCGUGAAGAGGGAAACAACCCAGACCGCCAGCUAAGGUCCCAAAGUCAUGGUUAAGUGGGAAACGAUGUGGGAAGGCCCAGACAGCCAGGAUGUUGGCUUAGAAGCAGCCAUCAUUUAAAGAAAGCGUAAUAGCUCACUGGUCGAGUCGGCCUGCGCGGAAGAUGUAACGGGGCUAAACCAUGCACCGAAGCUGCGGCAGCGACGCUUAUGCGUUGUUGGGUAGGGGAGCGUUCUGUAAGCCGUUGAAGGUGGCCUGUGAGGGUUGCUGGAGGUAUCAGAAGUGCGAAUGCUGACAUAAGUAACGAUAAUGCGGGUGAAAAACCCGCACGCCGGAAGACCAAGGGUUCCUGUCCAACGUUAAUCGGGGCAGGGUGAGUCGACCCCUAAGGCGAGGCCGAAAGGCGUAGUCGAUGGGAAACAGGUUAAUAUUCCUGUACUUGGUGUUACUGCGAAGGGGGGACGGAGAAGGCUAUGUUGGCCGGGCGACGGUUGUCCCGGUUUAAGCGUGUAGGUGUGUGUUCCAGGUAAAUCCGGUUCACUUUAACACUGAGGCGUGAUGACGAGGCACUACGGUGCUGAAGUGACAAAUGCCCUGCUUCCAGGAAAAGCCUCUAAGCAUCAGGUAACAUCAAAUCGUACCCCAAACCGACACAGGUGGUCAGGUAGAGAAUACCAAGGCGCUUGAGAGAACUCGGGUGAAGGAACUAGGCAAAAUGGUGCCGUAACUUCGGGAGAAGGCACGCUGAUAUGUAGGUGAAGUGGUUUACCCAUGGAGCUGAAAUCAGUCGAAGAUACCAGCUGGCUGCAACUGUUUAUUAAAAACACAGCACUGUGCAAACACGAAAGUGGACGUAUACGGUGUGACGCCUGCCCGGUGCCGGAAGGUUAAUUGAUGGGGUUAUCCGUAAGGAGAAGCUCUUGAUCGAAGCCCCGGUAAACGGCGGCCGUAACUAUAACGGUCCUAAGGUAGCGAAAUUCCUUGUCGGGUAAGUUCCGACCUGCACGAAUGGCGUAAUGAUGGCCAGGCUGUCUCCACCCGAGACUCAGUGAAAUUGAACUCGCUGUGAAGAUGCAGUGUACCCGCGGCAAGACGGAAAGACCCCGUGAACCUUUACUAUAGCUUGACACUGAACACUGGUCCUUGAUGUGUAGGAUAGGUGGGAGGCUUUGAAGUGUGGACGCCAGUCUGCAUGGAGCCAUCCUUGAAAUACCACCCUUUAAUGGCUGGUGUUCUAACGUGGGCCCGUAAUCCGGGUUGCGGACAGUGUCUGGUGGGUAGUUUGACUGGGGCGGUCUCCUCCUAAAGAGUAACGGAGGAGCACGAAGGUCAGCUAAUCCUGGUCGGACAUCAGGAGGUUAGUGCAAUGGCAUAAGCUGGCUUGACUGCGAGCGUGACGGCGCGAGCAGGUGCGAAAGCAGGUCAUAGUGAUCCGGUGGUUCUGAAUGGAAGGGCCAUCGCUCAACGGAUAAAAGGUACUCCGGGGAUAACAGGCUGAUACCGCCCAAGAGUUCAUAUCGACGGCGGUGUUUGGCACCUCGAUGUCGGCUCAUCACAUCCUGGGGCUGAAGUAGGUCCCAAGGGUAUGGCUGUUCGCCAUUUAAAGUGGUACGCGAGCUGGGUUUAGAACGUCGUGAGACAGUUCGGUCCCUAUCUGCCGUGGGCGCUGGAGAAUUGAGGGGGGCUGCUCCUAGUACGAGAGGACCGGAGUGGACGCAUCACUGGUGUUCGGGUUGUCAUGCCAAUGGCAUUGCCCGGUAGCUAAAUGCGGAAGAGAUAAGUGCUGAAAGCAUCUAAGUACGAAACUUGCCCCGAGAUGAGUUCUCCCUGACUCCUUGAGAGUCCUGAAGGAACGUUGAAGACGACGACGUUGAUAGGCCGGGUGUGUAAGCGCAGCGAUGCGUUGAGCUAACCGGUACUAAUGAACCGUGAGGCUUAACCUU
Molecule: ribosomal RNA, 2907 nt
Filed under: Klebsiella sp. BDA134-6
Lineage: Bacteria; Pseudomonadati; Pseudomonadota; Gammaproteobacteria; Enterobacterales; Enterobacteriaceae
Description: 23S ribosomal RNA
Rfam family: Bacterial large subunit ribosomal RNA
Source: RNAcentral